GCCGGUCCUCGGUAGUGGUUCCCGGGCCCGAAGCCGGUUCCCGGGGACUUCGAUCGAUGACCGGC
This is a regulatory RNA element of Pseudonocardia thermophila, 65 nucleotides long. It matches the Rfam family "Actino-pnp RNA". The record is from Rfam. Lineage: Bacteria; Bacillati; Actinomycetota; Actinomycetes; Pseudonocardiales; Pseudonocardiaceae.